This 398-nucleotide ribosomal RNA is filed under the name Capnocytophaga granulosa. RNAcentral describes it as "bacterial SSU rRNA". It matches the Rfam family "Bacterial small subunit ribosomal RNA", at positions 28 to 424 of the family's 1533-position model. The record is from RNAcentral. Lineage: Bacteria; Pseudomonadati; Bacteroidota; Flavobacteriia; Flavobacteriales; Flavobacteriaceae.
GAUGAACGCUAGCGGCAGGCCUAACACAUGCAAGUCGAGGGAGAAGCCCUUCGGGGCAGAAACCGGCGCACGGGUGCGUAACGCGUAUGCAACCUACCUUUCACAGGGGGAUAGCCCGAAGAAAUUUGGAUUAAUACCCCAUAAUAUUAUUGGAUGGCAUCAUUUGAUAAUUAAAAUUACGAUGGUGAAAGAUGGGCAUGCGUCCUAUUAGCUAGUUGGAGUGGUAACGGCACCCCAAGGCUACGAUAGGUAGGGGUCCUGAGAGGGAGAUCCCCCACACUGGUACUGAGACAGGGACCAGACUCCUACGGGAGGCAGCAGUGAGGAAUAUUGGUCAAUGGUCGGAAGACUGAAACCAAGCCAUGCCGCGUGCCAGGAAGAAAUGCCCUUAAUGGGGU